UUUUCGUUUUACAGACUUUGGAUAAGCCAACAGUUCGCAUCCUUAUUUUGCUGAUCAAUCUCAUGUAGAGUGAGAUUCAUGUCGAUCUAAAAUUCCAAACCAAGCUUGAAUCUAGAAUCACAUAAAAACCAAAAUGUGCAACUAAUCAAAAACAAAAUUAUUGAGGAAUCUAGGCUAAUUAAUGAGAAUAACAAAAAGUUAAGCACACCAAAACUAAUUAGUGAUAGCAUGAAAUUUAGAAAAAUAUUGUAAACCAAAAAAAAAAUUAGAAAGAAAUUAAGUCACAGUUAAUGUACUGCAACAACAUUGGAUACAUAGUUAAACAUUAAGAAUUUAUGAUCCAUUAGAAAUGCAUACGAGUUGCAGAUUAUGAAUCCCUUAAGGCAAGACUGGUUUUUAUUUAAAAGUAUGAAAAAGGCUAGCCUAGUGAUAGCUUGGUUCUAUAGGGUUACAUCAUCAAUUGAGGACCGCGGCUAGAUGGACUAGUGAUAUGAUCUAUAUUGCGCCGGUGAAGAUCAAAAACCUGACUCAACAGAAAAUAUUCAACUCAUAUGCAGUAACAGAAAAUAUCAAGAGAAAACUACAAUCUUUUUCCUUUUGUUAUAUAGGCCCCCUACAUAAGAUGGAUAUAGUUCUACAGAUACAGGACCAAUAACUACUAUAUGAAUAAGGUAAGAUUAAUUAGCUUCCCAUCACCUUCCUUCCUUCUCCUGCCUUUGAUGAACCCAAAUAUAAGAAUAUUAAACUUCUGCAUUACCGAAACCCCAAAUCAGUCUCCAUCAUUCAGUCACAUAACACAGAAAAGACAAAAAGAAGAAAAAUGAAGCAUUCCCGGAAGCAGCACAACUCACCCGAUCUUUCAGAUGAUCAAGAGACUUGAGUGAGGUAUCUGAGGCUUAGUGAGGCUUCCGAGCUGAUGAAACCCUACCGAAUAGGGUCAACAACAAAUCAUACCGAAUAAAAAAAAAGUGUGAUAAUUAAGAAUAAGGUUUACUUACUUUUGCCUAAAAAUUGGUCCAUCCGAGCCUCAUUCUCCCACACUUAUGCAAAGUCGCUAUAUUUUGAGCUACCUCUAGGGAACCCGUCACUUUGUCCAGGAAUCCACACAUUCCUCCUUUGUUAAAUUGCUCAU
This 1132-nucleotide long non-coding RNA is filed under the name Fragaria vesca (wild strawberry). RNAcentral's name for it is "long non-coding RNA (FVES_LNC002448)". The record is from RNAcentral. Lineage: Eukaryota; Viridiplantae; Streptophyta; Magnoliopsida; Rosales; Rosaceae.